CUUGCAGCCAUAUCAUAUUGAAACACCGGUUCCCAUAAGAUCACUGAAGCUAAGCAAUGUCAAGCCUGAUCAGUACCUAGAUGGGUGACUGUUUGGGAAUGCCAAGUGCUGUAAG
Acanthosepion pharaonis is the source of this 115-nucleotide non-coding RNA. NCBI's taxonomy places the organism in Eukaryota, Metazoa, Mollusca, Cephalopoda, Sepiida, Sepiidae. The record is from the annotation of a GenBank genome assembly.